RNAcentral lists this long non-coding RNA (643 nucleotides) under Homo sapiens (human). Its description in RNAcentral is "HSALNT0141478". The record is from RNAcentral. Lineage: Eukaryota; Metazoa; Chordata; Mammalia; Primates; Hominidae.
GGAAAUGUGCUGGAAAGCUUCCAUGAAGUUCUCUUGCUCUUAGGAGAGACCUACAGGACGAGGUGGUCUCUCUUUUUCCUCAAAAUAGUCAUGCUUCUGUUGCGAUCUGGAAGUGCUACAGCCAUCUUGCUACCUCCCUGAGAAUGAAGCUUCCACUGGGGAUGGCUUCCACUGGAGAAAUGGAAAAAAAAGAUCCCAUCCUGGAUCUCACAUUUAAUCAUCAUGUGUCCUCAGGCUCCUCUGUGGCAGUUUCUCAGUCUUUUCUUAUUUUUGAUGACCUUGACAAUUUUGAGGAGUUCUGGUCAGCUCCUGUGUGUGUUUUCUGCGAUGGCCGCACCUGCAACUUUCCAGAGACAUGUUCUUGGGCAGCUGGAGGAAGAUGGAAGUGCAUGGGAGUCUAUCCCACUCUAAACCCUACCCCAGUGGCCCUUAGCCACUGACUGACUGCUACAGGAAUAAAAACACAGUUUAUUUGCUUCAAGUUGGGAUAAACUCCAAGGCAGAAUUUAUACUGCAGAGCUCCCCUGUGGGAUCAGGUUUAAGCUGAGACUCUGCCUCAAAUCCCACCCGCACUUUCCUCCUUGCCUACCCCUGUCCUGCUCCCCCACUCCCUUACUGGCUGCCCCUCCUUAAUAAAUCACUU